Molecule: long non-coding RNA, 487 nt
Filed under: Heterocephalus glaber (naked mole-rat)
Lineage: Eukaryota; Metazoa; Chordata; Mammalia; Rodentia; Bathyergidae
Description: lncRNA (ENSHGLG00000037978.1)
Source: RNAcentral
CCCAGCCUGUCGACCGCCCCGUGCCUCAGCGGCGGCCCCGCCCCCUGACCUGGCACUCAGUUCCGGGGCGGGCUACCGCCUUGAAUCUGUGCUUUUCCUUCCCUGACCUUAAAGUCUCCCGAUCUUCAGUCACCGCGGGGCCGGGACUGGGAGCCAACCCAUGAGGCCUCCUGUGCUGGCCACCGCUCUUGUCUGAUCUCAGCGGUGGCCUGGGGUCCCUCCAACCCGACCGCGGAGAGCUGGGACUUGGAGGCUGUCUUGCUUGGGUGCGGGAAGCGGCCAGGGUGAAGGCGAGGGCUGAACCAACGAGACCCUGAGGGCGCAGAGGGUUUGAAAGUUUGGCUGCCUCGGUUGUUGGACGAAGACUUUGUGGCUUAUCCAGGACUCUGCAUGUUUGCAUGUUUUGAGGGCUCUCUCCACAGAACACAAUGGAAGAAGAGACAGGGAAACUGAGGCAGAGAAAUGGAACAGCCCCAUCUGGAUAGUG